RNAcentral lists this ribosomal RNA (270 nucleotides) under uncultured archaeon. Its description in RNAcentral is "partial 16S ribosomal RNA". It matches the Rfam family "Archaeal small subunit ribosomal RNA", at positions 477 to 747 of the family's 1478-position model. The record is from RNAcentral.
CAGCCCCUCGAGUGGUGGGGAUGAUUAUUUGGCCUAAAGCGUCCGUAGCCGGCCGGGUAAGUUUCCCGUUAAAUCCAGCGUCUCAAGCGUUGGACUGCGGGAAAUACUGCCUGGCUAGAGAGUGGGAGAGGUCAGCGGUAUUCUGGGGGUAGGGGCGAAAUCCUUUGAUCCCCGGAGGACCACCAGUGGCGAAGGCUGCUGACUAGAACACGUCUGACGGUCAGGGACGAAAGCUGGGGUAGCGAACCGGAUUAGAGACCCGAGUAGUCC